This 467-nucleotide ribosomal RNA is filed under the name uncultured bacterium. RNAcentral's name for it is "partial 16S ribosomal RNA". It matches the Rfam family "Bacterial small subunit ribosomal RNA", at positions 28 to 507 of the family's 1533-position model. The record is from RNAcentral.
GAUGAACGCUGGCGGCGUGCUUAACACAUGCAAGUCGAACGGAAGGCCCAAGCUUGCUUUGGUAAUCGGGUGGCGAACGGGUGAGUAACCCGGGGGUGAUCUGCCCUGCACUUCGGGAUAAGCCUGGGAAACUGGGUCUAAUACCGGGUAGGGCGAUGGUUUGGAUGCCAUUGUGGAAAGUUUUUUCGGUGUGGGAUGAGCUCGCGGCCUAUCAGCUUGUUGGUGGGGUAAUGGCCUACCAAGGCGUCGACGGGUAGCCGGCCUGAGAGGGUGUACGGCCACAUUGGGACUGAGAUACGGCCCAGACUCCUACGGGAGGCAGCAGUGGGGAAUAUUGCACAAUGGGCGCAAGCCUGAUGCAGCGACGCCGCGUGGGGGAUGACGGCCUUCGGGUUGUAAACUCCUUUCGCUAGGGACGAAGCGUUUUUGUGACGGUACCUGGAGAAGAAGCACCGGCUAACUACGUG